UACGUAGGUGGCGAGCGUUGUCCGGAAUUACUGGGUGUAAAGGGCGUGUAGGCGGGAAUGUAAGUCAGAUGUGAAAUUCCGAGGCUCAACCUCGGCGCUGCAUCUGAAACUAUAUUUCUUGAGUGCUGGAGAGGAAAGCGGAAUUCCUAGUGUAGCGGUGAAAUGCGUAGAUAUUAGGAGGAACACCAGUGGCGAAGGCGGCUUUCUGGACAGUAACUGACGCUGAGGCGCGAAAGCGUGGGGAGCAAACAGG
RNAcentral lists this ribosomal RNA (253 nucleotides) under uncultured bacterium. RNAcentral's name for it is "partial 16S ribosomal RNA". It matches the Rfam family "Bacterial small subunit ribosomal RNA", at positions 524 to 776 of the family's 1533-position model. The record is from RNAcentral.